UGAGGAAUAUUGGUCAAUGGACGCAAGUCUGAACCAGCCAAGUAGCGUGCAGGAUGACGGCCCUAUGGGUUGUAAACUGCUUUUAUAUGGGGAUAAAGUGGGGAACGUGUUCCCUUUUGCAGGUACCAUAUGAAUAAGGACCGGCUAAUUCCGUGCCAGCAGCCGCGGUAAUACGGAAGGUUCGGGCGUUAUCCGGAUUUACUGGGCGUAAAGCGCACGUAGGCGGACUUUUAAGUCAGGGGUGAAAUCCCGGGGCUCAACCCCGGAACUGCCUUUGAUACUGGAAGUCUUGAGUAUGGAAGAGGUGAGUGGAAUUCCGAGUGUAGAGGUGAAAUUCGUAGAUAUUCGGAGGAACACCAGUGGCGAAGGCGGCUCACUGGACCAUUACUGACGCUGAGGUGCGAAAGCGUGGGGAGCAAACAGG
This 424-nucleotide ribosomal RNA is filed under the name Verrucomicrobiota bacterium. RNAcentral's name for it is "Verrucomicrobia bacterium partial 16S ribosomal RNA". It matches the Rfam family "Bacterial small subunit ribosomal RNA", at positions 355 to 776 of the family's 1533-position model. The record is from RNAcentral. Lineage: Bacteria; Pseudomonadati; Verrucomicrobiota.